Molecule: long non-coding RNA, 1699 nt
Organism: Anser brachyrhynchus (Pink-footed goose)
Lineage: Eukaryota; Metazoa; Chordata; Aves; Anseriformes; Anatidae
Source: Ensembl
AAUGCUCUUUUGAACACAUCACUUCCCUGUACCCAUGGGACAAAGGCAACAGGAAGGGCUGCCACUCACAGGCCACACCUAUUCCUUAGUGAAGGAGAUCUGAGCAAAGGAGUACAAAUGCUUUGCACCCUGCCAGGCUUCAGGCAAUGUAGCACCUUUGUAGUCAGCCCAUGGGACUCUUUUGGAGGCUGUGCCUGGCAGCAAGGGGGAGAGAGAUCCUUAUUACUACUCUGAAUGCAACACGUUGUCUCAAAACCAUCUAUAGAGCUCCAGGCCCAGAGAUGUUCCCCUACCACAGAGGCUUACUGGUGUGUUUGAUUAUUUGCAGUUGUUCCAAUGAAGCAUGUGAUAUUUCAUCUAUUUCCAGUUUGCACAAACAUACAGAACACAAAGCUGCAGCCAGGAAUUUGGCUGCCAGAAGCUUCCCUUUUUCCCCUGGAUGCUAUUGCAUACUUCACAAUUGAAAGCCGUAGCCAGAACCCAGAUGGCUCAAUCCAAGGUUACCCUCUCCACGGAGCUCUGUUGUGUCCUCUUCCUGCAUCCGUGGCCAUUCCAUUGAUUCACUGCAGCCAAGCUCAUUUUUGUUCAUGGACUUACACAAGUGUAUUGUCAUGCAAAUUGGGGAUGGAGGAUGCUGGUGGACACUCAGGAGGAGGAUGGCAUAGGGACAGGAGAGGUGCAGUAUGCACGUUGCAUUAAUCACUUGACUGCAGACUGGGGAACUCAGUCAUCAGCCAGAAAAGGAGCAACACAUUUCAUGUUUAGCCACCUCAUAUGGACACAGAACAAUGAACUUGCUUCACUGGCCAUGUCCUUUCUGUGUGUCAGCCAUGAAAGGAGAUGAAUACUCACCGAGUGUACUGAACACUUGCCCAGAAUGCCUAAAAACUGUGGGAUUGCAAAGGCUGUGCAGUGCUCCAGUCCAUAACUAAUCCAUUGUCAUGUGCUUACACAAUGCAGACACUGCCAGGGAUAAAACUCAAGACUGAGGACCUGGUCCAAAGUCUACUAAAGUCAAUGGUUGGUCUUGCAAGGACUAAAGCAAGAGCCCUCUUUAUGAGCACACUUUAGUGUAAUUGUAAGCAGGAGUAGUAAGUGCACAAAUUCCCUUUGGUCAUGCUAUUUGCAAGAGAAAGAGGCAAUCAUACACUGUCAACUUAUUAUACGUAUUUUUGAGAAGUUGAUGAACAUCAGCAGGCCACACUCACUACAGUUCAAUGGAGCUGACUGCAUAAAAAUCUAAUCCUCUUCCAAUUUAAGUCAGAGGAAGUGCUCUCACUGAUUUCAAAAUGACAAAAUCUUUGGCUCAGUGUGACUACUGAAGGUGACAAAGGUGAGCCUUAACUUAAGUGAACGUGAAGAGAGCGGAAAAGAAUGGGGUGGUGACAAGGGACAGGACAGAGUAAAAGUCAGCUCCUGCAGAAUGGACUUGUGGUGGUUGCACUUGGAUGAGCUUUUCUAAAACACAGAAACAAAAUCUCCAUCCUGCCAAAACAAUGUGAGCUAUGCUAGACCUGUAAAUAGGAAGGCAUUAAAAAUAGGCUCUAAUUGUCUUGAAAUGGCCCUCCUCUAAGCGGUGGCAUUCUUUACCUGUAGCCAAGCAGCGCCUGUAAAAGCCUCAGCUCUUUCCUAUGUUUGCACACAUCAAAGAAAUGACUCCCAGUAUGAUCCUCACAAGCAAAGCAUCCUCAUGAUCAAU